This 672-nucleotide ribosomal RNA is filed under the name Limosilactobacillus fermentum. RNAcentral describes it as "bacterial SSU rRNA". It matches the Rfam family "Bacterial small subunit ribosomal RNA", at positions 636 to 1302 of the family's 1533-position model. Lineage: Bacteria; Bacillati; Bacillota; Bacilli; Lactobacillales; Lactobacillaceae. The record is from RNAcentral.
GAUAGCUUGAGUGCAGAAGAGGGGUAAGGAACUCCAUGUGUAGCGGUGGAAUGCGUAGAUAUAUGGAAGAACACCAGUGGCGAAGGCGGCUACCUGGUCUGCAACUGACGCUGAGACUCGAAAGCAUGGGUAGCGAACAGGAUUAGAUACCCUGGUAGUCCAUGCCGUAAACGAUGAGUGCUAGGUGUUGGAGGGUUUCCGCCCUUCAGUGCCGGAGCUAACGCAUUAAGCACUCCGCCUGGGGAGUACGACCGCAAGGUUGAAACUCAAAGGAAUUGACGGGGGCCCGCACAAGCGGGGGAGCAUGGGGUUUAAUUCGAAGCUACGCGAAAAACCUUACCAGGUCUUGACUUCUUGCGCCAACCCUAAAGAUAGGGCGUUUCCUUCGGGAACGCGAUGACAGGUGGUGCAUGCUCGUCGUCAGCUCGGGUCGUGAGAUGUUGGGUUAAGCCCCGCAACGAGCGCAACCCUUGUUUACUAGUUGCCAGCAUUAAGUUGGGCACUCUAGUGAGACUGCCGGUGACAAACCUGGAGGAAGGUGGGGACGACGUCAGAUCAUCAUGCCCCUUUAUGACCUGGGCUACACACGUGCUACAAUGGACGGUACAACGAGUCGCGAACUCGCGAGGGGCAAGCAAAUCUCUUAAAGCCGUUCUCAGUUUCGGGACUGGC